Molecule: ribosomal RNA, 468 nt
Filed under: uncultured bacterium
Lineage: Bacteria
Description: partial 16S ribosomal RNA
Rfam family: Bacterial small subunit ribosomal RNA
Source: RNAcentral
GACGAACGCUGGCGGCGUGCUUAACACAUGCAAGUCGAACGGAAAGGCCCUGCUUUUGUGGGGUGCUCGAGUGGCGAACGGGUGAGUCACACGUGAGUAACCUGCCCUUGACUUUGGGAUAACUUCAGGAAACUGGGGCUAAUACCGGAUAGGAGCUCCUGCUGCAUGGUGGGGGUUGGAAAGUUUCGGCGGUUGGGGAUGGACUCGCGGCUUAUCAGCUUGUUGGUGGGGUAGUGGCUUACCAAGGCUUUGACGGGUAGCCGGCCUGAGAGGGUGACCGGCCACAUUGGGACUGAGAUACGGCCCAGACUCCUACGGGAGGCAGCAGUGGGGAAUAUUGCACAAUGGGCGGAAGCCUGAUGCAGCAACGCCGCGUGCGGGAUGACGGCCUUCGGGUUGUAAACCGCUUUCGCCUGUGACGAAGCGUGAGUGACGGUAAUGGGUAAAGAAGCACCGGCUAACUACGUG